Molecule: ribosomal RNA, 253 nt
Filed under: uncultured bacterium
Lineage: Bacteria
Description: partial 16S ribosomal RNA
Rfam family: Bacterial small subunit ribosomal RNA
Source: RNAcentral
UACGAAGGGGGCUAGCGUUGCUCGGAAUCACUGGGCGUAAAGCGCACGUAGGCGGAUCUUUAAGUCAGGGGUGAAAUCCUGGAGCUCAACUCCAGAACUGCCUUUGAUACUGGGGAUCUCGAGUCCGGGAGAGGUGAGUGGAACUGCGAGUGUAGAGGUGAAAUUCGUAGAUAUUAGGAAGAACACCGGUGGCGAAGGCGGCCCACUGGUCCGGUACUGACGCUGAGGUGCGAAAGCGUGGGGAGCAAACAGG